Molecule: non-coding RNA, 45 nt
Filed under: Trypanosoma brucei brucei
Lineage: Eukaryota; Euglenozoa; Kinetoplastea; Trypanosomatida; Trypanosomatidae
Source: RNAcentral
AAACAAACAACUAAUAAAAUGUAAAUCUGAUGUGUGAUAUACUAU